RNAcentral lists this ribosomal RNA (527 nucleotides) under Feihyla baladika. Its description in RNAcentral is "Rohanixalus baladika partial large subunit ribosomal RNA". It matches the Rfam family "Bacterial large subunit ribosomal RNA", at positions 1940 to 2628 of the family's 2925-position model. Lineage: Eukaryota; Metazoa; Chordata; Amphibia; Anura; Rhacophoridae. The record is from RNAcentral.
UUCUGACCGGUGCAAAGGUAGCGUAAUCACUCGCCCCUUAAAUAGGGACUUGUAUCAACGGCAUCACGAGAGUUAUACUGUCUCCUCUUUCUAAUCAGUGAAACUGAUCUCCCCGUGAAAAAGCGGGCAUAAAAAUAUAAGACGAGAAGACCCCAUGGAGCUUUAAACCAAAAGCAAAUUAAAUUUAAACACCACAUCAACCCUUUGUAUUAUGCAUAUCGGUUUUAGGUUGGGGCAACCGCGGAGAAAAAUUUAACCUCCACAACGAAAAGACCUAAGUCUUCAUCUCAGAGCUACCGCUCUAAGAACUAGAACACUAACGGAAAAUGAUCCGAUUUAUUAUAGUUGAUCAACGAACCAAGUUACCCUGGGGAUAACAGCGCAAUCCACUUUGAGAGUUCCUAUUGACAAGUGGGCUUACGACCUCGAUGUUGGAUCAGGGUAUCCAAGUGGUGCAGCCGCUACUAAAGGUUCGUUUGUUCAACGAUUAAAACCUUACGUGAUCUGAGUUCAGAACCGGGAGAAGA